This is a non-coding RNA of Paramarasmius palmivorus, 100 nucleotides long. The record is from the annotation of a GenBank genome assembly. NCBI's taxonomy places the organism in Eukaryota, Fungi, Basidiomycota, Agaricomycetes, Agaricales, Marasmiaceae.
GGUUCGAUGGCGUAGUCGGUUAUCGCAUCCGUCUUACAUGCGGCUCCAAAUUGUCAUGUAAGCGCACGGAAGGUCCCCGGUUCGAGCCCGGGUCGAGCCA